GGCGAACCGGGAGAACUGAAACAUCUAAGUACCCCGAGGAAAAGAAAUCAACCGAGAUUCCCUCAGUAGCGGCGAGCGAACGGGGAUUAGCCCUUAAGCAUCUUGGAAGUUAGUGGAACGGUCCUGGAAAGGCCGGCGAUACAGGGUGAUAGCCCCGUACACGAAAACAACCUUGAUGUGAAAUCGAGUAGGGCGGGACACGUGACAUCCUGUCUGAAUAUGGGGGGACCAUCCUCCAAGGCUAAAUACUCCUGACUGACCGAUAGUGAACCAGUACCGUGAGGGAAAGGCGAAAAGAACCCCUGUGAGGGGAGUGAAAUAGAACCUGAAACCGUGUACGUACAAGCAGUGGGAGCCCUUCGGGGUGACUGCGUACCUUUUGUAUAAUGGGUCAGCGACUUACAUUUUGUAGCGAGGUUAACCGUAUAGGGGAGCCGUAGGGAAACCGAGUCUUAACUGGGCGUCUAGUUGCAAGGUGUAGACCCGAAACCGGGUGAUCUAGCCAUGGGCAGGUUGAAGGUUGAGUAACAUCAACUGGAGGACCGAACCCACUAACGUUGCAAAGUUAGGGGAUGACCUGUGGCUGGGGGUGAAAGGCCAAUCAAACUCGGAGAUAGCUGGUUCUCCCCGAAAGCUAUUUAGGUAGCGCCUCGGACGAAUACUACUGGGGGUAGAGCACUGUUUGGGCUAGGGGGUCAUCCCGACUUACCAACCCCAUGCAAACUCCGAAUACCAGUAAGUAAUAUCCGGGAGACACACGGCGGGUGCUAACGUCCGUCGUGAAGAGGGAAACAACCCAGACCGCCGGCUAAGGUCCCAAAGUUCUGGUUAAGUGGGAAACGAUGUGGGAAGGCUCAGACAGCUAGGAUGUUGGCUUAGAAGCAGCCAUCAUUUAAAGAAAGCGUAAUAGCUCACUAGUCGAGUCGGCCUGCGCGGAAGAUGUAACGGGGCUCAAACCAG
RNAcentral lists this ribosomal RNA (960 nucleotides) under Aeromonas hydrophila. RNAcentral describes it as "partial 23S ribosomal RNA". It matches the Rfam family "Bacterial large subunit ribosomal RNA", at positions 178 to 1190 of the family's 2925-position model. RNAcentral also lists the same sequence under 1 other name. The record is from RNAcentral. Lineage: Bacteria; Pseudomonadati; Pseudomonadota; Gammaproteobacteria; Aeromonadales; Aeromonadaceae.